UUGCGUACAUAUAGCCAGUCUUGUCAUGUGGUUUUCUUCCUGCGGUUUGUUGUGGGUCCUCUAUGCAUUUCUCACUUCCCUCGUUGUGAUCGUUCUUCACGCGAGUGUGAGAACUCCAAACCUCAAAGCACGCUUGAACACAUUCCGCGAAGAAUUUCGAGCUGUCUGGCGUAACUACAGUGAAAUUUGAAGGACUGCUACAAUCUAGGAGCAAACGGAGGCUGUUAAUCUGAAGUGAACAUUCCUUUGUUAUGUCAGAUGAUGGCAUAUACGGCUCUCAGUUUCAUGGUUAAGAUGGGUAAUAGGCUGUUCAGCCGCACUUGAAAUACUGACAUACUUGACCAAGUUACUUCUAAUUGGUGUAGUGAUGUUUAUACUUUUCAAACUAUUUUAGUGAUUUGACUUCACAAUACGGAUUUUUUUAA
This is a non-coding RNA of Camelina sativa (false flax), 425 nucleotides long. Lineage: Eukaryota; Viridiplantae; Streptophyta; Magnoliopsida; Brassicales; Brassicaceae. The record is from RefSeq and is a predicted model, not a curated record.